Molecule: ribosomal RNA, 468 nt
Filed under: uncultured bacterium
Lineage: Bacteria
Description: partial 16S ribosomal RNA
Rfam family: Bacterial small subunit ribosomal RNA
Source: RNAcentral
GACGAACGCUGGCGGCGUGCUUAACACAUGCAAGUCGAACGGAAAGGCCCUGCGUUUGCGGGUUUCUCGAUUGGGGAACGGGUGAGUGUCACGUGAGUAACCUGUCCCUGACUUUGUGAUAACUUCAGGAAACUGGGGCUAAUAUCGCAUAGGAGCUCCUGCUGCACGGUGGGGGUUGGAAAGUUUCGGCUGUUGUGGAUGGACUCGCGGCUUAUCAGCUGCUUGGUGGGGUAGUGGCGUACCAAGGCUUCGACGGGUAGCCGGCCUGGGCGGGUGACCGGCCACAUUGGGACUGAGAUACGGCCCAGACUCCUACGGGAGGCAGUAGGGGGGAAUAUUGCACAGCGGGCGGAAGCCUGAUGCAGAGACGCCGCGUGCGGGAAGACGGCUUUCGGGUUGUAAACCGCUUUCGCCUGUGACGAAGCGUGCGUGACGGUAAUGGGUAAAGAAGCACCGGCUAACUACGUG